Molecule: ribosomal RNA, 497 nt
Filed under: uncultured bacterium
Lineage: Bacteria
Description: partial 16S ribosomal RNA
Rfam family: Bacterial small subunit ribosomal RNA
Source: RNAcentral
GAUGAACGCUGGCGGCGUGCCUAAUACAUGCAAGUCGAGCGAACAGACGAGGAGCUUGCUCCUCUGACGUUAGCGGCGGACGGGUGAGUAACACGUGGAUAACCUACCUAUAAUACUGGGAUAACUUCGGGAAACCGGAGCUAAUACCGGAUAAUAUAUUGAACCGCAUGGUUCAAUAGUGAAAGACGCUUUUGCUGUCACUUAUAGAUGGAUCCGCGCCGCAUUAGCUAGUUGGUAAGGUAACGGCUUACCAAGGCAACGAUGCGUAGCCGACCUGAGAGGGUGAUCGGCCACACUGGAACUGAGACACGGUCCAGACUCCUACGGGAGGCAGCAGUAGGGAAUCUUGCGCAAUGGGCGAAAGCCUGACGGAGCAACGCCGCGUGAGUGAUGAAGGUCUUCGGAUCGUAAAACUCUGUUAUUAGGGAAGAACAAAUGUGUAAGUAACUAUGCACGUCUUGACGGUACCUAAUCAGAAAGCCACGGCUAACUACGUG